GCAUGAGGAACACUUGAGGUUAGUGUUGCAAACAUUGAGGGAUAAUCAAUUAUAUGCUAAGUUGAGCAAAUGUGAGUUUUGGGCUACGGAGGUUAAAUUCCUAGGUCAUGUGAUUAAGCAAGAGGGCAUUGCGGUAGAUAACUCUAAGGUCGAAUCCGUGUUGAAUUGGGAGAGGCCUAAAAAUGUUUCGGAGAUUAGGAGUUUCUUGGGAUUAGCGGGGUAUUAUAGGAGGUUUAUCCAAGACUUUUCACGUGUUGCUGCACCUAUGAUGCAACUCACGUAGAAAGGUACACCGUUUGUGUGGUCGGAUGAGUGUGAGAAAGCUUUUGAGGAGUUGAAGGGUAGAUUGACGUCUCCACCGGUAUUAGUGGUUCCGGAGAGGAGUGUAGGAUACCAAGUGUAUUAUGAUGCUUCUAGAGUGGGGUUGGGUUGUGUGUUGAUGCAAAGAGAUAGGGUAGUAGAGUAUGGUUUAGAUUGUUGAAGAUACAUGAGAAAAACUAUCCGGUUCAUUAUUUGAAGUUACUGGCAAUUGUAUUUGCAUUGAAUCAACUUAGAUAUUAUCUUUAUGGCGAGAAAUUUGAGGUCUUUUCGGAUCACAAAAGUCUUAAGUAUUUAUUUACUCAAAGAGAGUUGAAUUUGCGACAAAGGAGGUGGAUGAAGUAUUUAGGGGACUAUGACUUUAGUUUACAAUAUCACCCGGGUAAGGCAAAUGUGGUUGCGGAUGCAUUGAGUAGAAAGCAUAUAGUUGCUAGUUUGUUUAUAUAUGAGUGGGGAAUUGUAGGGAUAAUAAGUCAAAAUUUGGUUUGGGAUUGCAAAGUAUAGAGGAAAAGGUGUAUUUGGGUAGUAUGACUUCUAGACCGAUGUUGAUUCAAAAGGUGAUGGAUACACAGAAUGGGGACCCGAUUUUUGAUACAUUUGAGGAGGACUCCGGAUGGGUUCGGGGUGAUAAUGGAGGUGUGAGGUUUGCGGGGAGAUUGAUAGUACUCGAUGACAAGGAGCUACAAGAGGAGAUCUUGAAAGAAGCACACCAUUCUCGAUUUGCUAUGCAUCCCGGAGGCACGAAGAUGUACCAAGACUUGAGAAGAAACUUUUGGUGGAGAGACAUGAAGGCCGAUGUAGCUAGAUUUAUGGCAAGAUGCUUGACAUGUCAACAAGUGAAGGUGGAACACCAAAGGCCGGCGGGUUUGCUACAACCCCUACCAGUGGCACAAUGGAAAUGGGAGAUGAUCACUAUGGACUUUGUGACAGCAUUGCCGAUGACACCUAAGCAAAAUGAUAGCAUUUGGGUGAUAGUCGAUAGAUUGACCAAAUCAGCUCACUUCCUAUUGAUGAACAAGACGGACACCUUAGAGUCAUUAAGCACAUUGUACGUGCAGGAGAUAGUGCGACUCCACCGAGUGCCACUAUCCAUUGUGUCAGAUCGAGACCCGCGAUUCACGGGUAGAUUUUGGGGCAGUUUGCAGGAGGCCUUAGGGAUAUAGUUGGAUUUCACUACACCAUAUCAUCCAUAGAGUGAUGGGCAGAGUGAGAGGACUAUCCAGAUUUUAGAGGAUAUGCUACGUGCUUGUGUGGUAGAUUUUGGUGGUAAUUGGGAGAAAUACCUGCGUUUGGCAGAGUUUGUGUACAACAACUCAUACCAGAGUAGCAUUGGGAUGGCACUAUUGAAGCACUUUAUGGGAGGCCUUGUAGGUCACCAUUGUGUUGGGCGAAGGUUGGAGAGAAAGCAGUAUCGAGACUCAAAAUGGUGAAGGAGGCGAGAGACGGAAUUGAAAAGAUUAGAAAAAGGUUGAUCACGGCUCAAAGUAGGCAAAAGUUUUAUGCAGAGAAGAAGAGAAUGCCAUUGGAAUUUGCGGUUGGGAACAAGGUAUUUUUGAAGGUUAGUCCACAACGUGGCAUUCAAAGGUAUAGCAAACAAGCGAAGUUGACACCGCGGUUUGUGGGACCUUUUGAAAUCCUUGAGCUAGUUGGACUAGUAGCCUAUCGUUUAGCGCUUCCACCAAAAUUGGCUAAAGUUCAUAAUGUGUUUCAUGUUUCUAUGAUACAAAAAUAUGAGCCGGAUCCAUCACAUGUUUUAGAUUGGACCACAUUGGAAGUGGAGGAAAAUGGAAGCUACACUCUUCAACUGAUGAGGAUUUUGGAUCGAAAGGACAAGGUCACAAAAUCAAGUGCGAUACCAUUGGUUAAAGUCUUGUGGAUGCAUCACGACACGGAAGAGGUGACUUGGGAGCUUGAGUCAAAGAUGAAGGAGAAAUAUCCGUAUUGAUUCGCAAGUCUAGGUAAGUACGUAAAUUUCGAGGGUAAAAUUUUUAUAUGGAGGGGAGGAUGUAAUGCCCCUUUCUAAUAAAAAGGAAAGAAAAAUAUAAAAUAAUAAAAAUAAAAUGAAUAAAUGAGACUUAGUUGUGGAAAAUAAUAAAAGUUGUGGGAUGAAGUUAGAAUGUUAUAAGAGUUUAAAGAAUAGCUGAAUUAAAGUUAGGGUCAAAUAAGUAAAAGAACAAAAAGUAAUGGAAAAAAAAAUAAUAACAUAAACAAACAAAACAAAAAUAAAUAUAAAAAAAGAAGGUAAAACGGGUGAAGGCGCAGAUGCCUUCACCCGAGUAACCUUCUUAUAUAAAAAAAAAAAAAGAAGGUUGCUUUGCUUCUUCUCAAACCACACCACGGCAGCUCCACUUCCGGCGAUUUUCCGGCGAAGCUCCAGAUGGUAAUGACGCUCCAAGCUUGAAACCUACACCCACACUCCAUUCGAUUAAAGAAGAGAGAAGGAUUAAGGUUCAAGGGUGGUUCUUGAACCAAUUCAAGAUGAGACUUUGCUUUCUUCAUUUGGUGAAACUAACAAGUUUCAAGGUGGGCUAUUCAGGGUUCCUAUGAAUAUGGGAAUGCCGGUGGGCCGAGUCAGGAUUUCACAUGUACGUGUACUUGAGGCACCAUGCGGUGAUGUCGUUGGGCUGUUCAGGGUCCCGAUGAGUGUGGGGAUGCCGGUGGGCCAAGUUAGGAUUUCGUAUGGUGAGUCUAGUUUCGGUACCAGGGUUGCAGAUCAGGAGGAGCGUGCGUGACAUGGAUAGGCCUAUGGAGAAGAAUAAGACUAGAUGGUUCUAAAAUUUGAUUAUGUUACUAGUAUUUUAUCAUACUUGUUUUCCUUGAUUGAGACAUGUUGUGUGACACCUCAAUUCGAUGGUUGGAUGGACGGUUGGGAGGGUGCUCCGUGUGAUCAGGACUCCCGAACCGGGUUUGUGGACUUCGUGUCCUGACAAUUGAUUAUGCAUGCAGGUUGUUUGAUUAUACAUGUUAUUGUGUGUGGAAAUUUAUAUGUGAUUGUUAGGUGGCCUGAGACCCUGCUUAAAUUUGAGAAUUUAUCGAUGAUAUGAUUUGUUAGGUGGCCUGAGGCCCUGCCUAGGAUUGGGAAUGUAAUUGUAAUAUUUGUUG
Molecule: RNA transcript, 3420 nt
Organism: Tripterygium wilfordii
Lineage: Eukaryota; Viridiplantae; Streptophyta; Magnoliopsida; Celastrales; Celastraceae
Exons: 4
Source: RefSeq, a predicted model, not a curated record